UUAUAAGAAAUUUCCCAAUUUUAAUACAUUGUGUGGCCCAUCAAUUUGCAACCUCUGCCUUAAAUGGAAACAUGCUUAUAUGCCAACAUUGGUCUAUUUUUGAGUAAAAAGAAGAGAAAAGCAUAACUACAUGAAAAUACAUGUUAAGAGUAGCAAAAGUUUUUCCAUAAUCUUAAGUCCAUUUAAGAUACUAAACAGAGAAAGCAGAACCUCAGCAAUUACACAAGAUGUCCAUAAUAAGCUUUAUUAUUAUAGCUUGAAUAUGACAUUCAUAGGAUUAUGUAUAUUUGUUUAUGGUUUCAGGCUUAUAGACAACUUUGUAAUACUUAAAAAAUUAAAAAUUGUAUGUAAUCAUGAAAGGCUUUGAAUAAAUAGCCAGAACUUACACUUCAACAAGUUUAUUUAUAAAUUCUAGAAAAUCCAACAGUGGUAGAGUGUUUUUAUGUUCACCCAAAUAGUGAUUAACCUAAGUAUAACUUAUCAAAACCACAAAACCUUUGUUUGGACAUCCUCAUUAAAAUGAAGCAAUUCAAGGUAGAGUUGCCCUUAUCAAGCAAGAUUGAAACAAAACAACACAAGACUGUCCUAGAAAGAAUUACUAACUUUGAUUCUUACUUUAAAUUAAGAAAGUAUUUCAGGGGACCGGCUCAGCGGCACAGCAGUUAAGUUUGCACGUUCCGCUUCGGCAGCCCAGGGUUCGCCAGUUCAGAUCCCGGGUGUGGGCCUACGUACUACUUGGCAAGCCAUGCUGUGGUAGGCAUCCCACAUAUAAAGUAGAGGAAGAUGGGCACGGAUGUUAGCUCAGGGCCAGUCUUCCUCAGCAAAAAGAGGAGGAUUGGCAGCAGAUGUUAGCUCAGGGCUAAACUUCCCCCCCAAAAAAAAAAAAUUGAGUAUUUCCCUGAGGCAACAUAUUCCUUGCUUCAAAUAGCAUGCUUUGGACUCAUUCUUGCACUGAAGUUAUUUCCCUCACCUGGCUCUACGAAACCGGAGCCCAAACAAAUAUUCAACUGAACAAUAUGGACUCCAACACCGCCAAGAUACCGAUGAAACAGAAACACACACAAAAUUAAGACAAUCUUCAACAACAAACUAAAUAUUUAAAAAGUCAUAAACUUCAGAUGACUCAUGGAAAGAAACUUACUAUUUUCUUAUAAAUUUUGACUCUUUUAACAAAGUCAAGCUUACAGCAGGUUAACCAGCAUUGAAUACACAACCAUCCCCAUGUCUGCUAUUGCCCUGUUUUGUUCCUAUAAAAGUGAGCCCCCACAGACAACUUGGUUACCAAAAAAUGCUGCUUUUCCUCAGAAAUCUUUAAAAUAUCUUUUAGGAAGUACAAUCUAUGUGCUCUGGGUGCUUUCAGAACUGAAUUAUGAGAAACGCCUUCCUGCCCCAAGGUGCCGUGAAAAAUCUUAUCUGAAGCAUUUCCAAGGCAGUCAUCAAACUGACUACUUAAUUCAGUAGAUACAGCAAAUAAAUUCCUGCAGGGAAAAAACCCACAUCAGUAAAAAGGGUAGAAAAAUUAGUGCAUUUCAUUAGACAGUCCUUCAACAAGCAAGGCACUGAUUAUUUUCAGCAUCUGAAUUAUGAUCAGAAAUUGGAAUUAGUAAGGUCUAAGAGAGAAAAUUCCAGUACUUAAAAAGAAGCAUUUGCUGAGUCCCGAGGAGCAGAGCUGCAUAACCCUAGAGCUAGAGUUGUGAGAGGAGGAGAGGCCUGCACACAAGUUCUGGAGUGAAGCUCCAGGCGGACUGAAGGUCCUAUAGACAUCCCCCGUCAUCCUCUCACAGUGUGGCCACUUUAGUGUAGGAAGUGCAUGGCGUUAUCUGCAUUAAGAGGGCCUGCGAUAGCUCCCAAGAGUCCUCUGCCACUCCAGGUAACAUGGUAGAAUAUGCAAAUUUUCCUUUGAUUCCAAAAGGGCACCAGAAUUGCAAGAGAAAAUAAGAAAGAACAAGAGCGAGAGCAAGAGAGAGAAAGAGAAAGAGACAGAGAGACAGUGAAGGAGAGAGAGAGAAUACCUGAAAGGCUGCUGAGACAAGGAAAGGAAUAGAGGAAGUAAACUAACCACUGGAGAUGGAUGGAAACGUGUUAUCCAAGCACGUCUGGGAGAAAAGUUGUGAUUAAGAGAAGCUAGUAAGAAAAAAGAUUCAGCAGCUAAUGCCAACAAGAAUGAAGAGCCAGGAUGAAACACCCUCUCUGAUGAAGCAACGCUUCAUAACCUCCCUCUAAACUUAGGGCAGCCCUACAGAUAAAAGGAAAGGAGGAAAACUCUGGAUGACUUUGAGAACAUCUGAAUUAGCUAUGAGAAACCUGAACUAAGUGAGCAAUUACUCAAUUGAUCAAGCUUAUAUUUGCAUCAGUGGAAUUGGAACCCUAGGAAUGAUUAACUUCAGUUAUUUUUACAAUAGAGAAGAAUUAUAUUUCUUAUAUUCUUGAGUUUUGUGGAUUAAAAAUUUACAUUGAUGCAAUUAUUAUGAAUACUCGGUAAACAUUUUAGUCUAUUCUUUCAGUCUUUUUCCCAUUCAAAUAUUAUAUUUAAUGCUUUUGGCUUUGGGUUGGGGUGGUUCACAAAAAUCCAGCUCAUACUGUCAAGUGGUUUCACUUGCUAUAAUAAUAACAGUAACAAAGAUGAUGAAUAAUAACACAUAUAGCAGUUGCUCUAUGUCAGGAAAUUUGCUAAGCAUUUUAAAUAUACUAAUUAAUUUAAGCUUCACAGCUACCUAAUGAAGAAGCUUCCCUUAUCAUCCCAUCUACCAGAUGAAAAGACCAAGGCACAGAGAGUAAGACGUACACCAGGAAGUGGCAAGAUCAGGACCCAGAAGCCUUUUCCCCUAAAGCUGUGAGCUCAUUGAAGGCCAGGACCAUGUGUGGUUCAUCAUUGUACUCCUAAUUGUCGGUAAGUCCCAAUGUCUGGAACGUAGUCCCUGCCACAUGAGAGAGAUUCAGAAAAGGUGUUGAACAUAGGAAUAAAUAGGCACUAGGAGAACAUUAAAAUGCCAGUAAUAGGAGCUUUCAUUUGGUCAUUGUUUCUAACUUUAAAAAAGAGUUUUCACCUUUAGUCAUAUGUUCUAAAAUCAAAACCUAGCCUUGAUCAUUUCAGGAUCCAUUCCUUGCGCUGAUGAUGGCUCUAUAAAAUUCCUUUACUCCUUCACAGUCAAUUGACCGUGACACGUAAAAGAGGAGAGCUUUGGGGAUCAAGAUGCUAACAAUAAACAAAAUAUCAGAUCCAGGCACACAAAGCUGCCAUAAGACACUCAAAUGUUCAGCCACCACUUCACAUUACUAUUGCAAGGAAUAAGCAAGGGACCUUGUCUGUCUGCUCGUGUGAUGUGACAUUGGAAACCUAUCGAUUAGUCUGUCUCUCUGCAAGCUGGAUUCUCUAAAUGAUUGCCCUGGGCAGGGUAUAAACUAAUUCCCUCAAACUUUUUGACAACUCCAGUCUGCUGCACCAUGUACCACACCUGGCUGUUGCUCCUAAAGAUGUACCCUCCCCAUCCAGCCUCCCAUCCAUGUAUAAUGGUUGUUCAUCCUUGUGUUCGUAUUUACCACAGAUAGUAACACAGCACCUGCUACUCCGGCUCUGAUCACUGUCAUAUCUAAGCUCGUCAAGUGACAUUGCUGUACCAAGAGACAAAGGUGAGGGUUGGGCACAAGAGAAUACACAAGAGUUUUGGAAAGCAGAAGUGAAGCAGGAGCAAUUCUGUUCUGAAGGUGAGUGCAGGGCGUGUGCCCUCCACAUCCACACCCGUGAGCUGGCUCACCUUUUCACAGCAGCUGGUUCUCAAAGCCUGGCUUUCUUUCUAGAUUUCCUCCUCCCAGUGCUCCAAGUCCUGGGGCAGAUGAGUAUGUGGCUCCACAGUGAAGACUGCCAGUUCCUUCCAUGGGUCACCCACAACUUUGAGAUUGGUGAAAAAGAGACGAGGACUCCAGCUUGCUUUCGUGGGCCCAGUUCAUCCUUGCUCGAACACCCCUCACCUUCAUGUCCUGCUUUUCUUCCUGACUUUCACACCAGAAGACCUACAGUGACUUCAGCUCCGCUACCAAAAAGCAGCCUCCAUGCCCUUUUCACCAGCUCCCACCACUGCCUUCAGUUUCAUCCCCAAUAAUAAAUCCCAUCUUUCACGUGAGGAAUGGUGGUUCUGCUUCUCUUUUGAACUGUAACCGAUCAGCCAAAAUUAUUGAAAG
Molecule: long non-coding RNA, 4179 nt
Filed under: Equus caballus (horse)
Lineage: Eukaryota; Metazoa; Chordata; Mammalia; Perissodactyla; Equidae
Description: lncRNA (ENSECAG00000052670.1)
Source: RNAcentral